AUGGCAGAAUUUGUUGUGCUUUUGGGUGGAUGCGAGCGCAUGUGUUGUAGGCCAUAUGACGUUUAUCUUUACACAGAAAGCUUCAUGUUCGGCCGACACGCUGAAAAGCAAAAGCUCUUGAGCUUCUUGUUGGAGCACAACAACCCUGCUGGUGAUCAUGCAAUAGCAGUUCUUCCAAUCAUAGGUGGUGCAGCAAUUGGGAAGAAAACUUUGGUUACUCAUGUGUGCGGGGAUGAAAGGGUUCGCUCACGCUUCUCCUCUAUUUUGAUGUUGGUAGUUAUUGAGUUUAGUUCUGAUGUAGGUGAUGAUGACUGGAAAAAGUUGCACUCAUUUGUCAUAAAAAUGGCAAGAGGAAGCAAGAUCAUCAUCGUAAGAAGAUUAGCCCGGUUUGGAUCGGUGCAACCGAUUUUCCUAGGUGUUAUGUCUUACGAUGAGUUGAGGUAUCUUUUCAAGACGCUGGUAUUCAGGAGUGUAGACCCUGCAGAACAUCCACGGCUAGUACAAAUAGCAGAUGAGUUUGCCAAGUUAUUGUGGAACAUGAAUGGCUCACUUGUUGCAACAAAUUCGUAUGCGGAUGUGUUGAGAAGGAAUCUUGAUAUUCAGUUUUGGCGUUGCAUACUGGGCAAGGGGUCAAAAAUGGUUAGAACAAACCUCUCCAUAUAUGGCGUGCACCCAAACACACUCAUACACCAAGGUCACCCAGUGGACAUAACGGACUUUGCUUUGCAUCCACUUAGCAUGACACCUUAUAGUGUUAAUGUUUCAAUCAAGAAGGAACUGCCAAGUGUGACAUUUGGGGAUCUUAUAACAGACCCGAGUGUUAGGCCGGAAGGAGACUUCACUCUAAUCGCAUGGGAAUCAAGGAUACCCCCUUAUAAAUCAUUUCCUAAUUUUGUUACAAGUCGCCCUCAGGACACACAUCAAGCUAGUGCCCUGCCAGGAAGGAAGCGACAAGGAGAGCCAAUCUAG
This 969-nucleotide ribosomal RNA is filed under the name Triticum aestivum (bread wheat). Its description in RNAcentral is "partial small subunit ribosomal RNA". Lineage: Eukaryota; Viridiplantae; Streptophyta; Magnoliopsida; Poales; Poaceae. The record is from RNAcentral.